Pomacea canaliculata is the source of this 75-nucleotide small nucleolar RNA. The record is from RefSeq and is a predicted model, not a curated record. Lineage: Eukaryota; Metazoa; Mollusca; Gastropoda; Architaenioglossa; Ampullariidae.
AGACUAUGAUGAUUUAUGCAUUCACCAUCUUUCAACUGAUUUGUGAUGCAUUGAAUUUUUUUACUGAAGUCUUUA